RNAcentral lists this ribosomal RNA (492 nucleotides) under uncultured bacterium. RNAcentral describes it as "partial 16S ribosomal RNA". It matches the Rfam family "Bacterial small subunit ribosomal RNA", at positions 29 to 507 of the family's 1533-position model. The record is from RNAcentral.
AGUGAACGCUGGCGGUAGGCCUAACACAUGCAAGUCGAACGGCAGCACAGUAAGAGCUUGCUCUUACGGGUGGCGAGUGGCGGACGGGUGAGGAAUACAUCGGAAUCUACUUUGUCGUGGGGGAUAACGUAGGGAAACUUACGCUAAUACCGCAUACGACCUACGGGUGAAAGCAGGGGAUCUUCGGACCUUGCGCGAGUGAAUGAGCCGAUGUCGGAUUAGCUAGUUGGCGGGGUAAAGGCCCACCAAGGCGACGAUCCGUAGCUGGUCUGAGAGGAUGAUCAGCCACACUGGAACUGAGACACGGUCCAGACUCCUACGGGAGGCAGCAGUGGGGAAUAUUGGACAAUGGGCGCAAGCCUGAUCCAGCCAUACCGCGUGGGUGAAGAAGGCCUUCGGGUUGUAAAGCCCUUUUGUUGGGAAAGAAAAGCAGCAGGUUAAUACCCCGCUGUUCUGACGGUACCCAAAGAAUAAGCACCGGCUAACUUCGUG